This 2530-nucleotide long non-coding RNA is filed under the name Pomacea canaliculata. RNAcentral's name for it is "uncharacterized LOC112568861". Lineage: Eukaryota; Metazoa; Mollusca; Gastropoda; Architaenioglossa; Ampullariidae. The record is from RNAcentral.
AGUAUUGUUGGCACCAUCUGUUUUAGCCACAUCAUAUUGUCAUCGCCUCUCGUUGCACUAACAAAUAUAAUGCAAGUUAAUUUUCAUGUGAUACGAGCUCUGGGCACUGCUGCCACCGUCUUUUUUACUAAAGCAAUUAUUUUCGAUGCAGCCGCACUCAGAACAUAAUGUAAAAAUGAUGCGGGAAGAGUAUAUUUUUAUAUGGCAAAUAAUCUUUUUUUUUAUUUUCUGUCUAAUUUAUACAGAAACCAUCUGCGUGAUUUUGUUCUCAAAUACAAUAGAAAUAUUGAUGAAGUCACAUGACCGAAAGUAAAAUGUGUAGUAACUAUAUAUAUAUAUUCACAGACUGUCUUUAGAAAGUUUCCACAAGUGGGAGCAACAUGAUGGGGCCUCUCGUCCUUCUGCUCUGCUUCAUUCAAGGUUUUGGUGUUCAAGGGGCCGAAUGGGAGAUUAUAAUUCGUACAUCUGACAGCGAAGACGCGGCAACAGACUCCGAUAUCUAUAUUACUCUCCAUGGAUCUCGCGGAUCUUCCGCAGAAAUAAAGUUAUUCCAUUAUUACAACCCCUUUCAGAGUAAUCAGAUGGACAGUUUCAUUGUUACAACGGAAGACAUUGGUGAAGUGUGUUCACUGACCAUCAGGUCUGCCGGUAACUAUGCUGAUCAUGACUGGCAUCUCCGAGAGGUAAAAUAUAACUUUAAAAACCAUUUUUUGCAGUAAAUGCUAAGAAAAAACUGAAUUGUUGUGCUUGGGUCAAACACUCAACUAAUAUAGCUGUCAAUAGCACCAUAGCAUCUGGUCACUGUGCCACGUUCAUAUUUCAUCAAAGUCAUAAGACUGUUCUCUUUUAACCUGAAAAAACACAACAGUUGCAGGAAUAUGAAGAAAAUAUUGCCGCAGUGUAUUCUUUCUCCACUAAGUGACUUCUAUUUACGAUGCUUUUUUAAUAAGACCCCAAGAUAUAACUGAUAUUUAAUUUGGUAAUUAUGUGAUCCAUCCGUUGCGAUACAAACAUCCAUGACAGCACAAAAUGUUGGACCACUGUGGUUAGAGCGUUGUAGGUGCUGGCCAUCUUGUCCACUGAGAGCUAGCCUCAAGCCAGGAUGUAAACAAUACAGCGGCCAGUAAGAAACUCCCGCUACAUGGCUGUCACCAUGGUAACACACCGCCUGCAGGUAGCCGAUGAUAGUUCGCCGUUGCCAUGUUUGACUGACAUAUGUAUAUAUGUCGGCACAGAACACAACCAAUCUGAGCUUCCAUCAUAAUGAUGAUAAUAUAUACAUAUAAAUAUAUAUGUCUAAGACUGCGCCCUUGAGCUUUAAUGGUAGCCACACUGUCAGUCCUGUAUUUUUCCCUAAUGGGCCAAAAUAUUUUGACACGAUUGUACCAUGAUAGAAGUCAUAGUUGGAGCCGACAUGGCUCAACAUUACAACAAUAUUUCUCCAAGAUUUAUUUCAUUUAAGUGGACACAUUUCUCUAAUCACAUCACAGUAUUUACGGUAACUGCGGUAGAUAUCACAACUGAUUACCACGGACAUCAUUGUUUACUGUUCAGAUUAAAUAAAAUUUUUACAAAUUUAUUAGAAUUUAUAGUUCAUUUGUUAAAUUUAAUCUAUUCUUAACAAAGCAUUACACAUGCGGGAAGUCCCCCAAGGAAUUUGCGGUUAAAGACAUCUUUGCCUAAACCUAAUGGCAUCAGGCAGACAAUAUUUCCAAUGGCACCUGACACACCGACUGUUGUUUUACCUGGUUAUCACUUUAGUAAUACUACAUCCUUUAGGAUAAAGACAAAAAUGUUUAUUGUCUUGUAUUAGCCUUUCCGAAAAAAUUUCGUAGUAUUCAUUCGCAAAAUGCGUAUUUCAUGCAAUGUUGUUAUGUUUGUCCUCUUUGCAAAUUUAAAUCCCAAUGAUACAGAAAUAAGAAUUCUCGACGUGUCUAAUGACAUUAAAUGUCUUAUUGCUUAUGAUAUCUGAGAGUGAUUACACAUUUGUCGCAAAGCUCGUAUCUCCCAUACAUAUACCAGGUUUUUUUGCUUUUCUGUUGCUCACAGAUUGUGGUUCACGGAAUUACACAAAAGGAACCUUCACGGCACACUUUUACGUGCAGGUGUUGGUUAGAUAAACAACAUGGAUUAAACAGGGUUAUCCAAGCUGAUAUCCCAUGCUCCCGACAGAGCUAAUAAGUAAACCGAAGUAGGCGCAGACUUUGAAUCCGGCACUGACCAACCAGCAUAAAGCACAGACCAUGUCAGCUGAGUCUUUCUUCUGAUGCAAUUCUAGGAUAACAUGGACCAGGAAGCUACGCACAGAGACAAGCACAACCCAUACUCAUGACCUCUGUUUUAAACAACAGUAUGAAGAAGGAAGAACAAUCAUUAAACUGUUUUACAAUAAGAGAAAGAGGACAAGCACUAUCAGAUUAGUUAAAAGCUUUGCUUUAUUCGUAAUAAUUGUGAAAUAUAUGUUCGAUACAAUCAGACCUAUGCCGUGAGGAAUUUUGUAUUUGAUAAAAAUACUCCCAUUAUGUAAGUG